GAUUUGGCACCUAGGGAGGCAUCCGGUCUUGGGAUGUCGAUCCUGGCGUCUGCAACCUUGAUGAACAGCUCAAGGUCUUUGUGUCCCGACACUCUGCCACCUUCUCCAGCAUUGUGAAAGGCCAGCGGAGCCUGCACCACCGUGGAGACAACCUGGAGACCCUGGUCCUCCUGAACCCAUCAGACAAGUCCCUGUGUGAUGAGUGUUCACCCCCUCCCUCAGCUCCGGAACCUUCUGUUGGACCCUGCCUCUCACAAGCUACUGGUGUUGGCUGGGCCCUGCCUGGAGGAGACGGGGGAGCUGCUGCUACAGACAGGGGGCUUCUCGCCUCACCACUUCCUCCAGGUCCUGAAGGACAGAGAGAUCCGGGACAUCCUGGCCACCACGCCCCCACCUGUGCAGCCGCCCAUACUCACCAUCACCUGCCCCACCUUCGGUGACUGGGCUCAGCUGGCACCCGCUGUGCCCGGCCUUCAGGGGGCGCUCCGGCUCCAGCUGCGGCUGAACCCCCCAGCGCAGCUGCCCAACUCUGAGGGACUGUGCGAAUUCCUGGAGUACGUGGCUGAGUCUCUGGAGCCGCCGUCC
This 585-nucleotide small RNA is filed under the name Pan troglodytes (chimpanzee). Its description in RNAcentral is "processed transcript". The record is from RNAcentral. Lineage: Eukaryota; Metazoa; Chordata; Mammalia; Primates; Hominidae.